ACUCAAAGGAAUUGACGGGGGCCCGCACAAGCGGUGGAGCAUGUGGUUUAAUUCGAUGCAACGCGAAAAACCUUACCUACCCUUGACAUCCUUGGAAUUUUGCAGAGAUGUGAGAGUGCCGAAAGGAACCAAGAGACAGGUGCUGCAUGGCUGUCGUCAGCUCGUGUUGUGAGAUGUUGGGUUAAGUCCCGUAACGAGCGCAACCCUUAUCCUUAGUUGCCAACAGUAAGAUGGGGACUCUAAGGAGACUGCUGGUGAAGAACCGGAGGAAGGUGGGGACGACGUCAAGUCAUCAUGGCCUUUAUGGGUAGGGCUACACACGUGCUACAAUGGGACGCACAGAGGGAAGCGAACCUGCGAAGGGGAGCGAAUCCUAAAAAACGUCUCGUAGUCCGGAUUGAAGUCUGCAACUCGACUUCAUGAAGAUGGAAUCGCUAGUAAUCGCGAAUCAGCAUGUCGCGGUGAAUACGUUCCCGGGCCUUGUACACACCGCCCGU
RNAcentral lists this ribosomal RNA (497 nucleotides) under uncultured bacterium. RNAcentral's name for it is "partial 16S ribosomal RNA". It matches the Rfam family "Bacterial small subunit ribosomal RNA", at positions 899 to 1397 of the family's 1533-position model. The record is from RNAcentral.